UAGAAUUCUAGCAACUUGCUUGGGGGUGAGGAGUUAAGAUGGCGGCCAUUAUACAUGGCUAACUUGUAAAUACUAAAUCACACACGUGUCGACACAUUCUCCGGGGUGCCUCUAGAAGGUCGGAGAUAUGGGAUACGUGGAGGUCUAACC
Molecule: small RNA, 150 nt
Filed under: Shewanella woodyi ATCC 51908
Lineage: Bacteria; Pseudomonadati; Pseudomonadota; Gammaproteobacteria; Alteromonadales; Shewanellaceae
Description: t44 RNA
Rfam family: t44 RNA (bases 61-149)
About the family: This family consists of a number of bacterial RNA genes of between 135 and 170 bases in length. The t44 gene is found between the map and rpsB genes in all species in the full alignment apart from Shigella flexneri.
Source: RNAcentral